GACGAACGCUGGCGGCGUGCUUAACACAUGCAAGUCGUACGGUAAGGCCCUUUCGGGGGUCCACGAGUGGCGCACGGGUGAGUAACACGUGAGUAACCUGCCCACAACUUUGGGAUAACGCUAGGAAACUGGUGCUAAUACUGGAUAUGUGCUCCUGCUGCAUGGUGGGGGUUGGAAAGCUCCGGCGGUUGUGGAUGGACUCGCGGCCUAUCAGCUUGUUGGUGGGGUAGUGGCCUACCAAGGCGGCGACGGGUAGCCGGCCUGAGAGGGUGACCGGCCACAUUGGGACUGAGAUACGGCCCAGACUCCUACGGGAGGCAGCAGGGGGGAAUAUUGCACAAUGGGCGCAAGCCUGAUGCAGCAACGCCGCGUGCGGGAUGACGGCCUUCGGGUUGUAAACCGCUUUCAGCAGGGACGAAGCUUUUUGUGACGGUACCUGCAGAAGAAGCACCGGCUAACUACGUG
This 465-nucleotide ribosomal RNA is filed under the name uncultured bacterium. Its description in RNAcentral is "partial 16S ribosomal RNA". It matches the Rfam family "Bacterial small subunit ribosomal RNA", at positions 28 to 507 of the family's 1533-position model. The record is from RNAcentral.